Molecule: ribosomal RNA, 507 nt
Filed under: Staphylococcus auricularis
Lineage: Bacteria; Bacillati; Bacillota; Bacilli; Caryophanales; Staphylococcaceae
Description: bacterial SSU rRNA
Rfam family: Bacterial small subunit ribosomal RNA
Source: RNAcentral
UAACGGCUCACCAAGGCAACGAUACGUAGCCGACCUGAGAGGGUGAUCGGCCACACUGGAACUGAGACACGGUCCAGACUCCUACGGGAGGCAGCAGUAGGGAAUCUUCCGCAAUGGGCGAAAGCCUGACGGAGCAACGCCGCGUGAGUGAUGAAGGUCUUCGGAUCGUAAAACUCUGUUAUUAGGGAAGAACAAAUGCGUAAGUAACUGUGCGCGUCUUGACGGUACCUAAUCAGAAAGCCACGGYUAACUACGUGCCAGCAGCCGCGGUAAUACGUAGGUGGCAAGCGUUAUCCGGAAUUAUUGGGCGUAAAGCGCGCGUAGGCGGUUUUUUAAGUCUGAUGUGAAAGCCCACGGCUCAACCGUGGAGGGUCAUUGGAAACUGAAAAACUUGAGUGCAGAAGAGGAAAGUGGAAUUCCAUGUGUAGCGGUGAAAUGCGCAGAGAUAUGGAGGAACACCAGUGGCGAAGCCGACUUUCUGGUCUGUAACUGACGCUGAUGUGCGAA